This 484-nucleotide ribosomal RNA is filed under the name uncultured bacterium. RNAcentral's name for it is "partial 16S ribosomal RNA". It matches the Rfam family "Bacterial small subunit ribosomal RNA", at positions 29 to 507 of the family's 1533-position model. The record is from RNAcentral.
AUUGAACGCUGGCGGCAUGCUUUACACAUGCAAGUCGAACGGCAGCGCGGGCUUCGGCCUGGCGGCGAGUGGCGAACGGGUGAGUAAUACAUCGGAACGUGCCCAGUAGUGGGGGAUAGCUCGGCGAAAGCCGGAUUAAUACCGCAUACGACCUGAGGGUGAAAGCGGGGGAUCUUCGGACCUCGCGCUAUUGGAGCGGCCGAUGGCAGAUUAGCUAGUUGGUGGGGUAAAGGCCUACCAAGGCGACGAUCUGUAGCUGGUCUGAGAGGACGACCAGCCACACUAGAACUGAGACACGGCCCAGACUCCUACGGGAGGCAGCAGUGGGGAAUUUUGGACAAUGGGCGAAAGCCUGAUCCAGCAAUGCCGCGUGUGUGAUGAAGGCCUUCGGGUUGUAAAGCACUUUUGGCGGGAACGAAAAGGACUGUGCCAAUACCACGGUUCGAUGACGGUACCCGCAGAAUAAGCACCGGCUAACUACGUG